AGCCUUGCCACUGGGCAAAAAAUAUCAAGUCAAAAAGGGUAUUGGUAGGACGGGCGACCGCCUCGAAAGUUCCCGACUAUGCAAAGCAGAAAC
This 93-nucleotide small RNA is filed under the name Prevotella sp. S7-1-8. RNAcentral's name for it is "RT-17 RNA". It matches the Rfam family "RT-17 RNA". From Rfam's summary of the family: Bacteroidales (Bacteroidetes), Clostridiales (Firmicutes). Nearby to self- splicing intron genes The record is from Rfam by way of RNAcentral. Lineage: Bacteria; Pseudomonadati; Bacteroidota; Bacteroidia; Bacteroidales; Prevotellaceae.